Molecule: ribosomal RNA, 253 nt
Filed under: uncultured bacterium
Lineage: Bacteria
Description: partial 16S ribosomal RNA
Rfam family: Bacterial small subunit ribosomal RNA
Source: RNAcentral
UACAGAGGGGGCAAGCGUUGUUCGGAAUUACUGGGCGUAAAGGGCGCGUAGGCGGCCUUCUAAGUCGAACGUGAAAUCCCCGGGCUCAACCCGGGAACUGCGUCCGAGACUGGAAGGCUCGAAUCCGGGAGAGGGAUGUGGAAUUCCAGGUGUAGCGGUGAAAUGCGUAGAUAUCUGGAGGAACAUCGGUGGCGAAGGCGGCAUCCUGGACCGGUAUUGACGCUGAGACGCGAAAGCGUGGGGAGCAAACAGG